Molecule: small nuclear RNA, 101 nt
Filed under: Octodon degus (degu)
Lineage: Eukaryota; Metazoa; Chordata; Mammalia; Rodentia; Octodontidae
Source: RNAcentral
GUGCUCACUUCGGCAGCACAUACACUAAAAUUUAAACAAAGCUGAAAAGAUGGACCCUGUGUACAGAUGACACGCCAAUUCAUGAAGUAUUCCAUUUUUUU